Alligator mississippiensis (American alligator) is the source of this 1974-nucleotide RNA transcript. It is a transcript of the gene named major histocompatibility complex class I-related gene protein, with no coding region annotated. The record is from RefSeq and is a predicted model, not a curated record. The transcript is spliced from 8 exons. NCBI's taxonomy places the organism in Eukaryota, Metazoa, Chordata, Crocodylia, Alligatoridae.
CCCUUGAUGCCCGAGGGCUGCGGGGCCAAAGUGCAGGGCAAGGCAGGGCGGGGCAGGCGCAGUGAAGCUCGGCGCUGUACUAGCCGCUGGAAGGAAAGUCUUUCCCCCUGCGGACCCGGGCACACAGCUCACUACUCCAAGACCAGAGACCUGCGCGGAGCAGGGAACCAACUUCAGCUCCAUUCCCCGCAGCAGAUGGCCGGGACCACACCACAGUGGGAAUCUUGGGGCCUGAGCCCAACUCACACGGCCCCAUCUCUACUCGCACCGUGCAGUGACCCUACAGCUCCCUGCGAGAGGCACUGCAUCCUGGUGCACCUGUCGCUGCACGGGAUGGGCUGCUGCGCACGGACAUUGCGGCUGCAAGCGCCACAGGGAGCUUCUGUGAAGGUGGUGCCAGGCUCCCGGCUGCUGCUCCUGUUGCUGCUCGUGGGCACUGCAGCUGUGCCAGGAACCAGCGCCAGCUUCCACUCCUACCAGCAUCUCUACACGGGGGUGUCAGACCCUGGCCCGGACGUGCCCGCCUUCACUGCUGUGAGCUACGUGGAUGACCAGCAAAUUCUGCACUAUGACAGCGAGACACAGAGACAGGAGCCACGCGCGGACUGGGUACUAGGGGCCAUCGAGCCAGACUUCUGGAAGGGGGAAACCAUGUCCUUGCGGAGCUGGCAGGAUGGAUUUAAACGGAACCUGGUCACGCUGCAGCAUCGCUACAACCAGACCGGGGAGUCUCACACUCUGCAGCUCAUGUACGGCUGCAAGCUCCGUGAAGACAACAGCACUGGAGGCUACAUGCAGUUGGGCUAUGAUGGGGGAGACUUCAUCAGCUAUGACCUGGGAACGCGCACCUGGGUAGCAGAAACAACACAGGCUCAGGUUACCCAGCGCAGCUGGAAUGAGGAUAAGGCCUUUCUUCAGAUUACCAGUGCCUACCUGGAGGAGACCUGCAUCGAGUGGCUGUGGAAGUACCUGCAGUGCGGGGAGGCAGUGCUGCAGCGCAAGCGUCCCAUGGCACAGGUGAGCGACGGGCCAUCCCAGGGUGGACGCACCACCCUGUCCUGCCGGGUCCACGGCUUCUACCCCAAGGACGUGGCUGUCGUUUGGGUGAAGAACGGGGAGGCGCAGCCCCAGGAGACAACCCGCUCUGAGGUUUUUCCCAGCGGAGACGGGACCUACCAGACCUGGGCCACCAUUGAGAUAGACCCCAGCAGAAACCACAAUUAUGUCUGCAGCGUGGAGCACGAGAGCCUGGGGGCAGCCCUGAGAGAGUCCUGGGACAAGGGCAGGACGAAGUCCGACUUGAUACCAAUUGUGGGCAUUGUUAUCGGUUUUGUUGCAGUGGCCAUUGGGAUCAUUGUCUGUCACUUGUACUUUCCUGACUCGUGAAGCCUGGGAGAGUGAAUCCUCGGAGAGCUCCCGUGAGCGUCACUGUGAUGCACCUGACCCAGGGGCAGGCACUGGGGCCUGGGGCGGCAAUCCCACCCCCUCGGUGCGAGCCCUGGGCAAGGGGCAGGGGCAGGGGCCAGCUCAGAGGUGCAGCUACCAGCCCCAUGACAUGGCCAGUGCCUGGUCCCUGCUGGCUGCAGGACAGGGUGAGCGCAAAGACCCCCCUGGCUGAGCUGGCAGCAGUUUGUGCCCACCUGGCUCUCCUGAGCCCAGGGUCCUGCACCCUCCAGAGGUGCAGGAUGGGGCUGGAGGAUCUCAUGGGGCCGGAGACACCCCACUAACUCCUGUCCUUCCUCCCUGCACAGGGAGCAAUGUCUACUUCAGCACCUGAAGCAAAACUAAGUGCAAGGGGCUCUGUCCUGAGGGACCCCCCAAAGGAGAUGCCUCCUCUCUCUGAGCCAGCCCUAGGAGCCCAGGUCACCCCAAUCCAGGCUGCUAUGAGGCCGAGCAUGUCUGGGGGUAAGGUGACCUGAUCUCUGCUCAGAAAAAUGGAGGCAAAGAAAUUGUUAAAUAAUUGUUUUAAUUGUA